UUUCUCUCGUUUUCUCUCUCUAUCUCCCUGUUUUCAUAUCUUUCUCUUUUUCAAUUUCUUAAAAGCUGUCUUCGAACAGUCCAAGAUACACAGAGAAAGAGCUCAUGGUAUGCACUGUAUUGCAAUCUUCCGCGCACGCGGCACAUC
Non-coding RNA from Caenorhabditis elegans, 147 nucleotides. NCBI's taxonomy places the organism in Eukaryota, Metazoa, Nematoda, Chromadorea, Rhabditida, Rhabditidae. The record is from Ensembl.